Molecule: ribosomal RNA, 217 nt
Filed under: uncultured bacterium
Lineage: Bacteria
Description: partial 16S ribosomal RNA
Rfam family: Bacterial small subunit ribosomal RNA
Source: RNAcentral
UACGUAGGGGGCUAGCGUUGUCCGGAAUCAUUGGGCGUAAAGCGCGUGUAGGCGGUCCGGUAAGUCCGCUGUGAAAGUCGGGGGGCUCAACCCUCGGAUGCCGGUGGACUACUGUCGGGCUUGAGGUACGGAAGAGGCGAGUGGAAAUUCCUGGUGUAGCGGUGAAAUGCGGUAGAGUAUCAAGGAGGAACACCGGUGGCGAAGGGCGGGGAUCUCC